RNAcentral lists this ribosomal RNA (1067 nucleotides) under Baylisascaris schroederi (giant panda roundworm). RNAcentral describes it as "partial large subunit ribosomal RNA". It matches the Rfam family "Eukaryotic large subunit ribosomal RNA", at positions 69 to 944 of the family's 3401-position model. Lineage: Eukaryota; Metazoa; Nematoda; Chromadorea; Rhabditida; Ascarididae. The record is from RNAcentral.
CGAGGAUUCCCUUAGUAACUGCGAGUGAACGGGGAAAAGCCCAUCGCUGAAUCCUUCAGCCACUGGCUGCUAGGAAUUGUAGCGUAUAGGUGCGGCUGUCCGUUCGUUUCGUGCACCCAAAGUCCCCUUGAGCGGGGCUAUAGUCCAAAGAAGGUGCUAGACCUGUACGGGUGGCGAGGCGAUCGGUUGGUUGCUCCUUGGAGUCGGGUUGCCUGGGAUCGCAGCCCAAAGUUGGUGGUAGACCUCAUCUAAGGCUAAAUAUGGCCACGAAACCGAUAGCAAACAAGUACCGUGAGGGAAAGUUGCAAAGAACUUUGAAGAGAGAGUUCAAGAGGGCGUGAAACCGUUGAGAUUGAAACGGAUAGAGUUGACGGAACUCAGCUGCAUUCAUCCGAUCGGCCUAGUGGCCCGAUAGCGUUCGCAUCCUCGAUGAGGGCAACGUUAUCGGUAACUAUUGGGUAAUUGAUCGGUGUAUUUGCGGCUGGUAUGCGCUGAGAGUUUUGUGAUCGCAUGUUAACGGGUGUGCAGUGGACCAUUCCUUCCGGGCGUGGAACCCUUCACAUUUUUAGACAUGUCGAUUAUAAAGUUUUGAACGUGGCGUCUCCGCUAUUGUGCGUCGGCUUAUGCGUGCUAUCGUGAUUAUUUGAUAUUCGCAUGCGAAUGUCUGUAAUUAACGAUGAUGCGACAAAAGUGUGAGCGCGUUGAGACGUGCAUCUCGGUGUGAACGUUGACCACCUAUCCGACCCGUCUUGAAACACGGACCAAGGAGUCUAGCAUAUGCGCGAGUCAUUGAGUGGUAAACCUAAAGGCGUAAUGAAAGUAAAAGUCGCCUCGAUGCGGCCGAUAUGGGAUCCGGAUAACUUACGAGUCAUUCGGCGCACCAUAGCCCCGUCCCCGUUGCUUGCAAUAGGGCGGAGGUAGAGCGCAUAUGCUGGGACCCGAAAGAUGGUGAACUAUGCCUGAGCAGGAUGAAGCCAGAGGAAACUCUGGUGGAAGUCCGAAGCGGUUCUGACGUGCAAAUCGAUCGUCUGACUUGGGUAUAGGGGCGAAAGACUAAUCGAACCAUC